AUGAACUAAAUAACAUGCAUGAAUUAGACUCAAAAUUCAAAAGAUAGGCUAAGAAUGACAAGAAUACAUGAACAAAUUGAUCAAGGUCAUACCCGAAUCAAAUAAACAUUAAAAAUGUAGUAUCUAGGAAGUGAUCCUAGGUCGUCUCCCAACGAGCAAUGAUCAACCAAACGUUCGUAAUAGAUAGUAAUAAAACAAUAAC
Molecule: long non-coding RNA, 202 nt
Filed under: Glycine max (soybean)
Lineage: Eukaryota; Viridiplantae; Streptophyta; Magnoliopsida; Fabales; Fabaceae
Description: long non-coding RNA (GMAX_LNC000070)
Source: RNAcentral